Molecule: long non-coding RNA, 519 nt
Organism: Erigeron canadensis
Lineage: Eukaryota; Viridiplantae; Streptophyta; Magnoliopsida; Asterales; Asteraceae
Exons: 2
Source: RefSeq, a predicted model, not a curated record
CUACCCAACUUACCCAACCCUAUCCCUCCCUCCCUUUCCCCUCCACCCAUUCACUUUUCUUAUCUCUUUCUCUCUCUAUUUCAAAUUUCCUUACAAGAACUUAAACACACACACACAUAGCGCGCUCUCUCUAGAAUUCUUGUAUCCAAACAUUGUUAUUAGUGAAAUAGUUAGUAGAUUAUCAUUAUCAACAAAGAUUUGGGUUAUCAAAGUGCAAGAAACUCCCCCUUUAGCUCAAAACUCGGAUUUAUCACUUGGUGUAAGUUUUGAGUUCCCCUGGACUUAUGGGGUUGAGAAGUACCAGCCAUAUGGAACAAGAAGCUGCUAUACAUGCUUUGUCAAACUUGUUAGACUAUAAUACCUGCAAGAGCUAAUCCGCAACUUGAUAAGGUUAACGGCAUAUUUCUAUUUUUGUUAUGUCGUUCGACAUUUAAAUAUUUACGGCACUUGAAAAGUGAUACGAUUUGAUUUAUUAAUGACUUAUUAAUAGAUAAUAUCAGUUAAAGUUACUUUUCACCA